GCACGGUUAGCCAAGCGGCCAGGCAGCGGGUUGCAACCCCGUCGAGAUCGGUUCGACUCCGGUACCGUGCUCCA
This 74-nucleotide transfer RNA is filed under the name Planctomycetia bacterium. RNAcentral's name for it is "tRNA-Cys". It matches the Rfam family "tRNA". Rfam says of the family: Transfer RNA (tRNA) molecules are approximately 80 nucleotides in length. Their secondary structure includes four short double-helical elements and three loops (D, anti-codon, and T loops). The record is from RNAcentral. Lineage: Bacteria; Pseudomonadati; Planctomycetota; Planctomycetia.